Molecule: ribosomal RNA, 279 nt
Filed under: uncultured bacterium
Lineage: Bacteria
Description: partial 16S ribosomal RNA
Rfam family: Bacterial small subunit ribosomal RNA
Source: RNAcentral
UGCCAGCCGCCGCGGUAAUACGGAGGAUGCGAGCGUUAUCCGGAAUCACUGGGUUUAAAGGGUGCGUAGGCGGGAAAAUAAGUCAGAGGUGAAAUCUGGUCGCUUAACGAUCAAAUUGCCUUUGAAACUGUUUUUCUUGAAAUAUGAUGAGGUUGGCAGAAUGUGACAUGUAGCGGUGAAAUGCAUAGAUAUGUCAUAGAAUACCAAUUGCGAAGGCAGCUGACUGGUCAUUAUUUGACGCUGAGGCACGAAAGCGUGGGGAGCGAACAGGAUUAGAUA